This is a long non-coding RNA of Etheostoma cragini (Arkansas darter), 200 nucleotides long. RefSeq lists it as uncharacterized. NCBI's taxonomy places the organism in Eukaryota, Metazoa, Chordata, Actinopteri, Perciformes, Percidae. The transcript is spliced from 3 exons. The record is from RefSeq and is a predicted model, not a curated record.
GACUUUUGAGGCAAACGUGCAACCCUCCUUCUCCCCUUCCACCUCUGGCCGUCAUCCACGGCAACCUGAGUCCCUUUUCAGCAGACAGCUCCUUCGUUUGGUCUCUUAUUCCCUCUCCACCAUCACCAGUGUCUAGGCUCCAUGGGGGGAAUAUGUCUGGCAUCUCUACCCCUUUAAAAUAUUUUUAACAAUGGUGUCCA